CCGCGAAUAGCUCAUUACAACAGCCGUUGUUUAUUAGAUCUUAUAUCCUACUUGGAUAACUGUGGUAAUUCUAGAGCUAAUACAUGCAACAAUACCCAGACCUCACGGAAUGGGUGCACUUAUUAGACUAAAACCAAUCGGACUUCGGUCCGCCAAAUGGUGAAUCUGAAUAACUCAGCUGAUCGCAUGGUCUUUGCACCAGCGACAGAUCUUUCAAAUGUCUGUCCUAUCAACUUUCGAUGGUAGUUUACACGCCUACCAUGGUUGUUACGGGUAACGGAGAAUUUGGGUUCGACUCC
Molecule: ribosomal RNA, 299 nt
Filed under: Acantholaimus sp. K75
Lineage: Eukaryota; Metazoa; Nematoda; Chromadorea; Chromadorida; Chromadoridae
Description: partial 18S ribosomal RNA
Rfam family: Eukaryotic small subunit ribosomal RNA
Source: RNAcentral